CGUGUAGUGUGGGGCCGCCCAGGUACUACAAGGGAUGAGGAGGAAGACUUGGGGUACCAGGAAGGAUCUAUCACAGUCUCUCUCAGCCCCGACUCCGCGUACAUCUCGCCUCCCGCCUCACAUCACACCAACACAAACCUUGGUGCGGUGAUGGAAGGGGCAGUGGCAGGGGAUGAUGGCUGUUUUUCACACCUCUACCAUACUCGCCAGCACACCUCCAGACGACCGAUGCCAACACAAGCAAGUCCCGACUCCUGGUACUAGGGCGGGAAACAAGAGUAACGUCAGCGUGAAGUUCACCUCAACACCAAUUGACUUUCAACUCUUGACGGACAAGUGCAGUGUUCACAAGCAAGCGAUGACGUUAUUCCAGCCCGCAGCGCGUCACUUUGGUCAUUGGGAGUCAUAAGCAGCCACUAAUCCGCUCUGCACCUGAUCAACCAGCUAAGACACCUUCAAGUUGGAGAGAGAGAGAGUUGCCUGCUACAGAGUUGCCUGCUACAGAGAGUUGCCUGCUACAGAGAGUUGCCUGCUAUAGAGAGUUGCCUGCUACAGAGAGGGGUGUGGUGAUAGCGCAGGUGAUGAGAUGGUGAGGGUAGUGAUGCUGAUUUGUUCUAGCCCUUAUGAAUCAGUAUUAUAUAAAUAUGGGCUAAGGACAUAUAUUCAUUGUAUACAUUCUAUCACCCAGACUAUUGAGCAUAA
This is a long non-coding RNA of Homarus americanus (American lobster), 702 nucleotides long. RefSeq lists it as uncharacterized. The transcript has 4 exons. NCBI's taxonomy places the organism in Eukaryota, Metazoa, Arthropoda, Malacostraca, Decapoda, Nephropidae. The record is from RefSeq and is a predicted model, not a curated record.